AACAACCUCAAAAGCUUGCUUUUGAUGGGCGUCGACCGGCGCACGGGUGAGUAACGCGUAUCCAACCUGCCCACCACUUGGGGAUAACCUUGCGAAAGUAAGACUAAUACCCAAUGACGUCUCUAGAAGACAUCUGAAGGAGAUUAAAGAUUUAUCGGUGAUGGAUGGGGAUGCGUCUGAUUAGCUUGUUGGCGGGGUAACGGCCCACCAAGGCGACGAUCAGUAGGGGUUCUGAGAGGAAGGUCCCCCACAUUGGAACUGAGACACGGUCCAAACUCCUACGGGAGGCAGCAGUGAGGAAUAUUGGUCAAUGGGCGAGAGCCUGAACCAGCCAAGUAGCGUGCAGGAUGACGGCCCUAUGGGUUGUAAACUGCUUUUAUAAGGGAAUAAAGUGAGUCUCGUGAGACUUUUUGCAUGUACCUUAUGAAUAAGGACCGGCUAAUUCCGUGCCAGCAGCCGCGGUAAUACGGGAGGUCCGGGCGUUAUCCGGAUUUAUUGGGUUUAAAGGGAGCGUAGGCCGGAGAUUAAGCGUGUUGUGAAAUGUAGACGCUCAACGUCUGCACUGCAGCGCGAACUGGUUUCCUUGAGUACGCACAAAGUGGGCGGAAUUCGUGGUGUAGCGGUGAAAUGCUUA
Molecule: ribosomal RNA, 634 nt
Filed under: uncultured Bacteroidota bacterium
Lineage: Bacteria; Pseudomonadati; Bacteroidota
Description: bacterial SSU rRNA
Rfam family: Bacterial small subunit ribosomal RNA
Source: RNAcentral